AUGGCGCCCAGCACUCGUAGGGCCAAUGCCAUCCUCGUCGUGGGGAUGCUCCUCGCGGCUGCCAUGGCAGCGGUGGCGGCCGAGGCGGCGGCUGAGGUGUCGUGCGGAGACGCGGUAAGCGCGCUGAUCCCGUGCGGGUCGUUCCUGGUGGGCGCCGUCGCCGGGGCGCCGAGCGAGAGCUGCUGCCGCGGCGCGCAGGGGCUGCGGAGGAUGGCGGGCACGCCGGGCGCACGGCGCGCGCUCUGCAGGUGCCUGGAGCAGUCCGGCCCGUCAUUCGGCGUGCUCCCGGACCGCGCCCGGCAGCUCCCGGCGCUCUGCAAGCUCGGCAUCUCCAUCCCCGUCAGCCCCCACACCGACUGCGACAAG
RNAcentral lists this ribosomal RNA (366 nucleotides) under Triticum aestivum (bread wheat). RNAcentral describes it as "partial small subunit ribosomal RNA". Lineage: Eukaryota; Viridiplantae; Streptophyta; Magnoliopsida; Poales; Poaceae. The record is from RNAcentral.